This 452-nucleotide ribosomal RNA is filed under the name uncultured bacterium. RNAcentral describes it as "partial 16S ribosomal RNA". It matches the Rfam family "Bacterial small subunit ribosomal RNA", at positions 355 to 797 of the family's 1533-position model. The record is from RNAcentral.
UGGGGAAUAUUGCACAAUGGGCGCAAGCCUGAUGCAGCCAUGCCGCGUGUGUGAAGAAGGCCUUCGGGUUGUAAAGCACUUUCAGCGAGGAGGAAGGUGGUGAGCUUAAUACGCUCAUCAAUUGACGUUACUCGCAGAAGAAGCACCGGCUAACUCCGUGCCAGCAGCCGCGGUAAUACGGAGGGUGCAAGCGUUAAUCGGAAUUACUGGGCGUAAAGCGCACGCAGGCGGUUUGUUAAGUCAGAUGUGAAAUCCCCGGGCUCAACCUGGGAACUGCAUUUGAAACUGGCAAGCUAGAGUCUCGUAGAGGGGGGUAGAAUUCCAGGUGUAGCGGUGAAAUGCGUAGAGAUCUGGAGGAAUACCGGUGGCGAAGGCGGCCCCCCUGGACGAAGACUGACGCUCAGGUGCGAAAGCGUGGGGCAGCAAACAGGAUUAGAUACCCUGGUAGUCCA